GUCAAAUUUCUUCGUCACCAGCAGUGCCAAUAGCAGAAAACCCAACAGACAAGUAAUUAGAAAUGGGAAACCGGAGAUUUGCGCAGAUCUCCACCAGUGACGAGGAAGACGAAGAGCCAACUCCGCCGCCGAAAACUCGUUCGUCAAUGAAGUUGGAAGGGAACGAAAGGAAGAGGAAGAAAAUAAAGCUUCCUGAUGAAGACGAAGAGAAAUUGAGGGGAGGGAAAGUGAAAAAAAA
This 238-nucleotide unclassified non-coding RNA is filed under the name Hevea brasiliensis (rubber tree). Lineage: Eukaryota; Viridiplantae; Streptophyta; Magnoliopsida; Malpighiales; Euphorbiaceae. The record is from RNAcentral.